GACGUAGGGCGCGAGCGUUGUCCGGAUUUAUUGGGCGUAAAGAGCUCGUAGGCGGUUCGACAAGUCGGGUGUGAAAACUCCGGGCUCAACCCGGAGACGCCACCCGAUACUGUCGUGACUGGAGUCCGGUAGGGGAGUGGGGAAUUCCUGGUGUAGCGGUGAAAUGCGCAGAUAUCAGGAGGAACACCGGUGGCGAAGGCGGGUCUCUGGGCCGAUACUGACGCUGAGGAGCGAAAGCGUGGGGAGCAAACAGG
Molecule: ribosomal RNA, 254 nt
Filed under: uncultured bacterium
Lineage: Bacteria
Description: partial 16S ribosomal RNA
Rfam family: Bacterial small subunit ribosomal RNA
Source: RNAcentral